AGAGUUUGAUCCUGGCUCAGGAUGAACGCUGGCGGCGUGCUUAACACAUGCAAGUCGAACGAACCUUCGGGUUAGUGGCGGACGGGUGAGUAACGCGUGAGAAUCUGCCCUCAGGAGGGGGAUAACAGUUGGAAACGACUGCUAAUACCCCAUAUGCCGAGAGGUGAAAUGAAUUUCGCCUGGGGAUGAGCUCGCGUCUGAUUAGCUUGUUGGUGGGGUAAUAGCCUACCAAGGCUUCGAUCAGUAGCUGGUCUGAGAGGACGAUCAGCCACACUGGGACUGAGACACGGCCCAGACUCCUACGGGAGGCAGCAGUGGGGAAUUUUCCGCAAUGGGCGAAAGCCUGACGGAGCAACGCCGCGUGAGGGAUGGAGGCCUUUGGGCUGUAAACCUCUUUUCUCAAGGAAGAAGAUCUGACGGUACUUGAGGAAUAAGCCACGGCUAAUUCCGUGCCAGCAGCCGCGGUAAUACGGGAGUGGCAAGCGCUAUCCGGAAUUAUUGGGCGUAAAGCGUCCGCAGGCGGCCGUUUAAGUCUGUUGUUAAAUCGUGGAGCUCAACUCCAUCACGGCAAUGGAAACUGUCCGGCUUGAGUAUGGUAGGGGCAGAGGGAAUUUCCGGUGUAGCGGUGAAAUGCGUAGAUAUCGGGAAGAACACCAGUGGCGAAAGCGCUCUGCUGGGCCAUUACUGACGCUCAUGGACGAAAGCCAGGGGAGCGAAAGGGAUUAGAUACCCCUGUAGUCCUGGCCGUAAACGAUGAACACUAGAUGUUGGGGGAAUCGACCCCCUCGGUGUCGUAGCUAACGCGUUAAGUGUUCCGCCUGGGGAGUACGCACGCAAGUGUGAAACUCAAAGGAAUUGACGGGGGCCCGCACAAGCGGUGGAGUAUGUGGUUUAAUUCGAUGCAACGCGAAGAACCUUACCAAGGCUUGACAUCCUGCGAAUCUCUAAGAAAUUAGAGAGUGCCUUCGGGAACGCAGUGACAGGUGGUGCAUGGCUGUCGUCAGCUCGUGUCGUGAGAUGUUGGGUUAAGUCCCGCAACGAGCGCAACCCACGUUUUUAGUUGCCAGCAUUCAGUUGGGCACUCUAGAAAGACUGCCGGUGACAAACCGGAGGAAGGUGUGGACGACGUCAAGUCAUCAUGCCCCUUACGCCUUGGGCUACACACGUACUACAAUGCUGCGGACAAAGAGUAGCGAUCUUGCGAAAGUUAGCUAAUCUCAUAAACCGUGGCUCAGUUCAGAUCGUAGGCUGCAACUCGCCUACGUGAAGGAGGAAUCGCUAGUAAUCGCAGGUCAGCAUACUGCGGUGAAUACGUUCCCGGGCCUUGUACACACCGCCCGUCACACCAUGGAAGUUGGCCAUGCCCGAAGUCGUUACUCUAACCUUUUGGAAGAGGGCGCCGAAGGCAGGGCUAAUGACUGGGGUGAAGUCGUAACAAGGUAACC
This 1445-nucleotide ribosomal RNA is filed under the name uncultured bacterium. RNAcentral's name for it is "bacterial SSU rRNA". It matches the Rfam family "Bacterial small subunit ribosomal RNA". The record is from RNAcentral.